AGAUUAAACACGUCAAAACAUUAGAGCCACGACGCACUGGUAUCCCUACUGUCGAACUAGCAUUUCUGAAGGACAUCCUUGAAAAUGCUGGUUUGAGAAAAUGAAGAUAUUGAAGGUUGAGUAUUGUGGCAAGAUAUUGACGCGUAGGGAAAAUGAUGGACAUCAUGUUAUGAUUCCAAAGUCAAGGAAAUGGGCAACAAAGAAUCAAAUUUUUAACGGGAUCAUAGUGUCUUUGUAACAUCAAAUGUUGAAUUUCUUGUAAAUACUUUAUGUUGAAUUCGUAAAAUUGGUAAACCGACAAUUUCGAUAUUAGUUGGUUUUUAUCAACUUGUAAUGAUUCAUUUGCUUGAAGUUUUAACCUUGUUUGAAGUUUAUUUUGACGAAUAGACUCGUGAUGUGAUA
This is a long non-coding RNA of Spinacia oleracea (spinach), 402 nucleotides long. RefSeq lists it as uncharacterized. The record is from RefSeq and is a predicted model, not a curated record. NCBI's taxonomy places the organism in Eukaryota, Viridiplantae, Streptophyta, Magnoliopsida, Caryophyllales, Amaranthaceae. The transcript is spliced from 2 exons.